This 510-nucleotide ribosomal RNA is filed under the name uncultured bacterium. RNAcentral's name for it is "partial 16S ribosomal RNA". It matches the Rfam family "Bacterial small subunit ribosomal RNA", at positions 29 to 507 of the family's 1533-position model. The record is from RNAcentral.
ACAAACGCUGGCGGCAUGCCUAACACAUGCAAGUCGAACGGACAGAACAGGGACGCUUUUCGGAGUGGAACUGGAAAGUUAGUGGCGGAUGGGUGAGUAACGCGUGGACAACCUACCUUGUAAAGGGGAAUAACCUCGAGAAAUCGAAGCUAAUACCCCAUAAUAACCUUGCUUCGCAUGAAGUAAGGAGGAAAGGCGGCCUUAGCGCUGUCGAUACAAGAUGGGUCCGCGUCUGAUUAGCUAGUUGGUGAGGUAAAGGCUCACCAAGGCGACGAUCAGUAGCCGGCCUGAGAGGGUGAACGGCCACAUUGGGACUGAGACACGGCCCAAACUCCUACGGGAGGCAGCAGUGGGGAAUCUUCCGCAAUGGGCGAAAGCCUGACGGAGCAAUGCCGCGUGAGUGAAGAAGGCCUUCGGGUUGUAAAACUCUGUCCUUAUCGAAGAGAGAGUGUUGUAGUAACUGACAAUACUAGGACGGUAGAUGAGGAGGAAGCCCCGGCUAACUAUGUG